UCUAGAGAUUAGAGUUUGAUCAUGGCUCAGAUUGAACGCUGGCGGCAGGCUUAACACAUGCAAGUCGAGCGGGGGAGAUUGCUUCGGUAAUUGACCUAGCGGCGGACGGGUGAGUAAUACUUAGGAAUCUGCCUAUUAAUGGGGGACAACAUCUCGAAAGGGAUGCUAAUACCGCAUACGCCCUACGGGGGAAAGCAGGGGAUCACUUGUGACCUUGCGUUAAUAGAUGAGCCUAAGUCGGAUUAGCUAGUUGGUGGGGUAAAGGCCUACCAAGGCGACGAUCUGUAGCGGGUCUGAGAGGAUGAUCCGCCACACUGGGACUGAGACACGGCCCAGACUCCUACGGGAGGCAGCAGUGGGGAAUAUUGGACAAUGGGGGGAACCCUGAUCCAGCCAUGCCGCGUGUGUGAAGAAGGCCUUAUGGUUGUAAAGCACUUUAAGCGAGGAGGAGGCUCUCUUGGUUAAUACCCAAGAUGAGUGGACGUUACUCGCAGAAUAAGCACCGGCUAACUCUGUGCCAGCAGCCGCGGUAAUACGGAGGGGGCUAGCGUUGUUCGGAAUUACUGGGCGUAAAGCGCACGUAGGCGGCUAUCCAAGUUGGGGGUGAAAUCCCUGGGCUUAACCCAGGAACUGCCUUCAAAACUGGAUGGCUAGAGUCCGAGAGAGGUGAGUGGAAUUUCCAGUGUAGAGGUGAAAUUCGUAGAUAUUGGAAAGAACACCAGUGGCGAAGGCGGCUCACUGGCUCGGUACUGACGCUGAGGUGCGACAGCGUGGGGAGCAAACAGGAUUAGAUACCCUGGUAGUCCACGCCGUAAACGAUGGGUGCUAGUUGUCAGGCAGCUUUGCUGUUUUGGUGACGCAGCUAACGCAUUAAGCACCCCGCCUGGGGAGUACGGUCACAAGAUUAAAACUCAAGGAAUUGACGGGGGCCCGCACAAGCGGUGGAGCAUGUUGUUUAAUUUCGAAGCAACGCGCAGAAUCCUUACCCACUCCUUGACAUCUGGGAUCGCGUUACCCGGAGAACGUUUUCCUUCAGUUCGCCUGGAUCCAAGAACAGUGAUUGCAUGUCUGUCGUCAGCUUCGGUGUCUGGAAAUGUGGUUUAAGUCCCGCAACUGAGCGCAUCCAUUUUCUUAUUUGCCAGCACUUCGGUGUGUAACCUUUAAGGUACACUGU
This 1174-nucleotide ribosomal RNA is filed under the name uncultured bacterium. Its description in RNAcentral is "bacterial SSU rRNA". It matches the Rfam family "Bacterial small subunit ribosomal RNA", at positions 1 to 1152 of the family's 1533-position model. The record is from RNAcentral.